Long non-coding RNA from Neltuma alba, 682 nucleotides. RefSeq lists it as uncharacterized. Lineage: Eukaryota; Viridiplantae; Streptophyta; Magnoliopsida; Fabales; Fabaceae. The record is from RefSeq and is a predicted model, not a curated record. The transcript has 4 exons.
GGUUAAAGCCCAGUCAAUCAGUUUCAAUUUUCAAAUCGAGGUCACAUUUUUCGCUCUAUACUCUGCUCCCGCUCCGCAUUUGUCGACUCCUGCGAUUACUUACCCUAGCUUCUAGAUCUUUUGCUCUUCAUCCCCGCUCUCAUGUAUUUUACGAAUAGGGCGUAGGCUGUUGAGUGAUCAAAUAUGGCAGAACUGAGCUUGGGUAUUCUUAUUGAUGUUGUUGAUGAGGAAUGGAUGAGAGAUACACUUCCUGAUGAUGAUCUUCCACUGCCUCCAACACUGAUAGUGCGAACAGAUGAUACUGAGGAAUCGAACCAGGAGACUCAACAAGCCAAUGCGGAUUCUUGGCAUGAUCUUGCCAUGGGCCCAGAAUAGAAACCUUAUUUUUCUGAGUGUCGUGCUUGGCGGUAAGUAGAUGGUGUUUUCUGUAUUUUUGUGUCAUAUCAUCCGCUUUGUGCUUCUAUCAAGUCUAAUGUUGAAUUCCUAGUUUUUGUUUUGUUGUACUUAUAGAAGGAAUGUUAAUGAGAUAUCAACUUAACUUGGUGGCCUCUUGAGCUAUCUCAUUUAUUUUAUAUGAUCUAGGGUACAUAUGGUGCAUCCUACUAGCACUUAUGAUAGAUUUAUAUCCAUGCACUUUGUUCUAAAGAUGAAAAAUGGCAUAUUGAUUAGUGGUCAACCCGGA